Molecule: transfer RNA, 73 nt
Filed under: Deltaproteobacteria bacterium
Lineage: Bacteria; Pseudomonadati; Myxococcota; Myxococcia
Description: tRNA-His
Rfam family: tRNA
About the family: Transfer RNA (tRNA) molecules are approximately 80 nucleotides in length. Their secondary structure includes four short double-helical elements and three loops (D, anti-codon, and T loops).
Source: RNAcentral
GCGAACGUAGCUCAGUUGGCAGAGCAAUGGAUUGUGAUUCCAUGGGUCGUGGGUUCGAGCCCCAUCGUUCGCC